GCAAGCUACUGAGGGCACAUGGUGGAUGCCUUGGCAUCGAGAGCCGAUGAAGGACGUAGGAGUCUGCGAUAAGCCCCGGGGAGUUGACAACCGAGCUGUGAUCCGGGGGUGUCCGAAUGGGGAAACCCGGCCAGAGGAGUGUCUGGUCACCGUCGCCUGAAUAUAUAGGGCGUUCGGAGGGAACGUGGGGAAGUGAAACAUCUCAGUACCCACAGGAAGAGAAAACAAUUGUGAUUCCGUGAGUAGUGGCGAGCGAAAGCGGAUGAGGCUAAACCGUGCAGAUGUUCAAGACGGCAGUCGUUGUCUGUGCGGGGUCGUGGGAGCACGUGGCUGGUUCUGCCGAGCUGGCGAGAAGUGAUCAAGUUCUGGUGAAGUCGAAGGGCCUGGAAUGGUCUGGCGUAGAGGGUGAGACCCCUGUAGACGUAAGCUGGAGCCUUCUGUGUGUUUUCCCGAGUAGUGCGUGACUCCUGGAAUUGCGCAUGAAUUUGGCGGGACCACCCGUUAAGCCUAAAUACUCCUCGAUGACCGAUAGCGGACCAGUACCGUGAGGGAAAGGUGAAAAGUACCCCGGGAGGGGAGUGAAAUAGUACCUGAAACCAUGUGCCUACAAUCCGUCGGAGCGAUCUCCUUGUGGGAUUGUGACGGCGUGCCUUUUGAAGAAUGAGCCUGCGAGUUAGUGGUACGUGGCGAGGUUAACCCGUGGUGGGGUAGCCGUAGCGAAAGCGAGUCCGAACAGGGCGUUGAGUCGCGUGCUCUAGACCCGAAGCGGGGUGAUCUAUCCAUGGGCAGGUUGAAGCGUGGGUAAGACUGCGUGGAGGACCGAACCCACUUAGGUUAAAAACUGAGGGGAUGACCUGUGGAUAGGGGUGAAAGGCCAAUCAAACUCCGUGAUAGCUGGUUCUCCCCGAAAUGCAUUUAGGUGCAGCGUCGUUUGUUUCUUGCCGGAGGUAGAGCACUGGAUGGUCUAGGGGGCCUACAAGCUUACCGAAAUCAACCAAACUCCGAAUGCCGGCAAGUGAGAGAGCGGCAGUGAGACUGCGGGGGAUAAGCUCCGUAGUCGAGAGGGAAACAGCCCAGACCAUCAGCUAAGGCCCCUAAGCGGUUGCUAAGUGGAAAAGGAUGUGGAGUCGCAGAGACAACCAGGAGGUUGGCUUAGAAGCAGCCACCCUUGAAAGAGUGCGUAAUAGCUCACUGGUCAAGUGAUUCUGCGCCGACAAUUUAGCGGGGCUCAAGCAACCCGCCGAAGCUAUGGCAUUCAUACGUGUACUCGGCCCACUCUUUGGGUGGGUCCAGGUGUGUGGAUGGGUAGGGGAGCGUCGUGUGGCGUGGGAAGCGGCGGGGUGACCCAGCCGUGGAUGCCACACGAGUGAGAAUGCAGGCAUGAGUAGCGAAUGAAGAGUGAGAAACUCUUCCGCCGAAUGACCAAGGGUUCCAGGGUCAAGCUAAUCUGCCCUGGGUAAGUCGGGACCUAAGGCGAGGCCGACAGGCGUAGUCGAUGGACAACGGGUUGAUAUUCCCGUACCGGCGUUGGUGCGCCCAUGCUGAAUCAGUGAUGCUAAGCGGGUGAUCUUCUGUUCCGGACCCUUCGGGGUCUGGUUCUUGGGAGUGAGCGUGUGAACCGAGCUGGUAGUAGGCAAGUGAUGGGGUGACGCAGGAAGGUAGCUCAUCGCGGCGAUGGUUGUCCGCGUGUAAGGAUGUAGGGCGACAGGUAGGUAAAUCCGUCUGUCAUGUGUCUGAGAUCCGAUGCCGAGCCGUUUGUGGUGAAGUGAGUGAUCCUAUGCUGUCGAGAAAAGCCUCUAGCGAGUACCAGAGCCGCCCGUACCCCAAACCGACACAGGUGGUCAGGUAGAGAAUACCGAGGCGAUCGAGAUAAUCGUGGUUAAGGAACUCGGCAAAAUGCCCCCGUAACUUCGGGAGAAGGGGGGCCGGAUCCGUGAACCCUUUGCUGGGGGAGCGGUGAAGGCCGCAGAGACCAGGCCCAAGCGACUGUUUACUAAAAACACAGGUCCGUGCGAAGAAGUAAUUCGAUGUAUACGGACUGACUCCUGCCCGGUGCUGGAAGGUUAAGGGGACGUGUUAGCGCUUCGUGUGCGAAGCACUGAACUUAAGCCCCAGUAAACGGCGGUGGUAACUAUAACCAUCCUAAGGUAGCGAAAUUCCUUGUCGGGUAAGUUCCGACCUGCACGAAUGGAGUAACGACUUGGGCGCUGUCUCAACCACGAGCUCGGCGAAAUUGCACUACGAGUAAAGAUGCUCGUUACGCGCGGCAGGACGGAAAGACCCCGGGACCUUCACUACAGCUUGGUAUUGGUGUUUGGUUCGGCUUGUGUAGGAUAGGUGGGAGACUGUGAAGCAGCCACGCCAGUGGUUGUGGAGUCGUUGUUGAAAUACCACUCUGGUCGUACUAGAUGUCUAACUUAGGUCCGUGAUCCGGAUCAGGGACAGUGCCUGGUGGGUAGUUUAACUGGGGCGGUUGCCUCCUAAAAUGUAACGGAGGCGCCCAAAGGUUCCCUCAGCCUGGUUGGCAAUCAGGUGUUGAGUGUAAGUGCACAAGGGAGCUUGACUGUGACACCGACGGGUGGAGCAGGGACGAAAGUCGGGACUAGUGACCCGGCGCUGGCAUGUGGAAGCGGCGUCGCUCAACGGAUAAAAGGUACCCCGGGGAUAACAGGCUGAUCUUCCCCAAGAGUCCAUAUCGACGGGAUGGUUUGGCACCUCGAUGUCGGCUCGUCGCAUCCUGGGGCUGGAGCAGGUCCCAAGGGUUGGGCUGUUCGCCCAUUAAAGCGGCACGCGAGCUGGGUUUAGAACGUCGUGAGACAGUUCGGUCCCUAUCCGCCGCGCGCGUAGGAAACUUGAGAAAGGCUGUCCCUAGUACGAGAGGACCGGGAUGGACGAACCUCUGGUGUGUCAGUUGUUCUGCCAAGAGCACGGCUGAUUAGCUACGUUCGGAAGUGAUAACCGCUGAAAGCAUCUAAGCGGGAAGCACGUUUCAAGAUGAGGUUUCCCACCCACCUUGGUGGGGUAAGGCCCCCAGGAGACGACUGGGUUGAUAGGCCGGAAGUGGAAGCGCAGCAAUGUGUGGAGCUGACCGGUACUAAUAGGCCGAGGGCUUGCUCACACA
RNAcentral lists this ribosomal RNA (3121 nucleotides) under Mumia flava. RNAcentral describes it as "bacterial LSU rRNA". It matches the Rfam family "Bacterial large subunit ribosomal RNA". The record is from RNAcentral. Lineage: Bacteria; Bacillati; Actinomycetota; Actinomycetes; Propionibacteriales; Nocardioidaceae.